Molecule: ribosomal RNA, 252 nt
Filed under: uncultured bacterium
Lineage: Bacteria
Description: partial 16S ribosomal RNA
Rfam family: Bacterial small subunit ribosomal RNA
Source: RNAcentral
UACGGAGGGUGCAAGCGUUAAUCGGAAUUACUGGGCGUAAAGCGCGCGUAGGCGGUUUUUAAGUCGGAUGUGAAAGCCCCGGGCUCAACCUGGGAACUGCAUCCGAUACUGGAAGACUAGAAUGCGGGAGAGGGAGGUAGAAUUCCAUGUGUAGCAGUGAAAUGCGUAGAUAUAUGGAGGAAUACCAGUGGCGAAGGCGGCCUCCUGGCUCGACAUUGACGCUGAGGUGCGAAAGCGUGGGGAGCAAACGGC